Molecule: small nuclear RNA, 18 nt
Filed under: Arabidopsis thaliana (thale cress)
Lineage: Eukaryota; Viridiplantae; Streptophyta; Magnoliopsida; Brassicales; Brassicaceae
Description: snRNA_05167
Source: RNAcentral
AGAGGGGAAAGGUUCCAU